UGCGCCGUAGCUCAGCGGAUAGAGCUCCUGGUUGCUACGUAGGUGGGUGGUUGGCACCCCUAUCUACGGCCAGGGAGGUCGCGGGUUCAAGUCCCGCCGGCGCAC
This 105-nucleotide transfer RNA is filed under the name Citromicrobium sp. RNAcentral's name for it is "tRNA-OTHER". It matches the Rfam family "tRNA". From Rfam's summary of the family: Transfer RNA (tRNA) molecules are approximately 80 nucleotides in length. Their secondary structure includes four short double-helical elements and three loops (D, anti-codon, and T loops). The record is from RNAcentral. Lineage: Bacteria; Pseudomonadati; Pseudomonadota; Alphaproteobacteria; Sphingomonadales; Sphingomonadaceae.